This 1372-nucleotide ribosomal RNA is filed under the name uncultured bacterium. Its description in RNAcentral is "bacterial SSU rRNA". It matches the Rfam family "Bacterial small subunit ribosomal RNA", at positions 28 to 1381 of the family's 1533-position model. The record is from RNAcentral.
GAUGAACGCUGGCGGCGUGCCUAAUACAUGCAAGUCGAGCGAACGGACGAGAAGCUUGCUUCUCUGAUGUUAGCGGCGGACGGGUGAGUAACACGUGGAUAACCUACCUAUAAGACUGGGAUAACUUCGGGAAACCGGAGCUAAUACCGGAUAAUAUUUUGAACCGCAUGGUUCAAAAGUGAAAGACGGUCUUGCUGUCACUUAUAGAUGGAUCCGCGCUGCAUUAGCUAGUUGGUAAGGUAACGGCUUACCAAGGCAACGAUGCAUAGCCGACCUGAGAGGGUGAUCGGCCACACUGGAACUGAGACACGGUCCAGACUCCUACGGGAGGCAGCAGUAGGGAAUCUUCCGCAAUGGGCGAAAGCCUGACGGAGCAACGCCGCGUGAGUGAUGAAGGUCUUCGGAUCGUAAAACUCUGUUAUUAGGGAAGAACAUAUGUGUAAGUAACUGUGCACAUCUUGACGGUACCUAAUCAGAAAGCCACGGCUAACUACGUGCCAGCAGCCGCGGUAAUACGUAGGUGGCAAGCGUUAUCCGGAAUUAUUGGGCGUAAAGCGCGCGUAGGCGGUUUUUUAAGUCUGAUGUGAAAGCCCACGGCUCAACCGUGGAGGGUCAUUGGAAACUGGAAAACUUGAGUGCAGAAGAGGAAAGUGGAAUUCCAUGUGUAGCGGUGAAAUGCGCAGAGAUAUGGAGGAACACCAGUGGCGAAGGCGACUUUCUGGUCUGUAACUGACGCUGAUGUGCGAAAGCGUGGGGAUCAAACAGGAUUAGAUACCCUGGUAGUCCACGCCGUAAACGAUGAGUGCUAAGUGUUAGGGGGUUUCCGCCCCUUAGUGCUGCAGCUAACGCAUUAAGCACUCCGCCUGGGGAGUACGACCGCAAGGUUGAAACUCAAAGGAAUUGACGGGGACCCGCACAAGCGGUGGAGCAUGUGAUUUAAUUCGAAGCAACGCGAAGAACCUUACCAAAUCUUGACAUCCUUUGACAACUCUAGAGAUAGAGCUUUCCCCUUCGGGGGACAAAGUGACAGGUGGUGCAUGGUUGUCGUCAGCUCGUGUCGUGAGAUGUUGGGUUAAGUCCCGCAACGAGCGCAACCCUUAAGCUUAGUUGCCAUCAUUAAGUUGGGCACUCUAAGUUGACUGCCGGUGACAAACCGGAGGAAGGUGGGGAUGACGUCAAAUCAUCAUGCCCCUUAUGAUUUGGGCUACACACGUGCUACAAUGGACAAUACAAAGGGCAGCGAAACCGCGAGGUCAAGCAAAUCCCAUAAAGUUGUUCUCAGUUCGGAUUGUAGUCUGCAACUCGACUACAUGAAGCUGGAAUCGCUAGUAAUCGUAGAUCAGCAUGCUACGGUGAAUACGUUCCCGGGUCU